RNAcentral lists this ribosomal RNA (426 nucleotides) under uncultured bacterium. RNAcentral describes it as "bacterial SSU rRNA". It matches the Rfam family "Bacterial small subunit ribosomal RNA", at positions 355 to 772 of the family's 1533-position model. The record is from RNAcentral.
UGGGGAAUUGUUCGCAAUGGGCGCAAGCCUGACGACGCAACGCCGCGUGGAGGAUGAAGAUCUUCGGGUUGUAAACUCCUUUCGAUCGAGACGAAUGGCCCUCGGGCUAACAUCCUGAGGGAGUGACGGUACCGAGAGAAGAAGCCCCGGCUAACUCCGUGCCAGCAGCCGCGGUAAUACGAAGGGGGCUAGCGUUGCUCGGAAUUACUGGGCGUAAAGGGCGCGUAGGCGGACAGUUUAGUCAGAGGUGAAAGCCCAGGGCUCAACCUUGGAAUUGCCUUUGAUACUGGCUGUCUUGAGUUCGGGAGAGGUGAGUGGAAUGCCGAGUGUAGAGGUGAAAUUCGUAGAUAUUCGGCGGAACACCAGUGGCGAAGGCGACUCACUGGCCCGAUACUGACGCUGAGGCGCGAAAGCGUGGGGAGCAAA